UACAGGGGGUGCAAACGUUGCUCGGAAUUAUUGGGCGUAAAGCGUGCGCAGGCGGUCCGCAAAGUCUGAUGUGAAAGCCCCGGGCUCAACCUGGGAACUGCAUUGGAAACUAACGGGCUCGAGUGUGGCAGAGGGGGGUGGAAUUCCACGUGUAGCAGUGAAAUGCGUAGAGAUGUGGAGGAACACCGAUGGCGAAGGCAGCCCCCUGGGCUAACACUGACGCUCAGGCACGAAAGCGUGGGGAGCAAACAGG
This 253-nucleotide ribosomal RNA is filed under the name uncultured bacterium. RNAcentral describes it as "partial 16S ribosomal RNA". It matches the Rfam family "Bacterial small subunit ribosomal RNA", at positions 524 to 776 of the family's 1533-position model. The record is from RNAcentral.